AGUUCACGGUGAGGACACUUUUUAAGCAUCUCCUUGAAUCUUUCCCCAAGUUUCACUAAAUGUUUCAUCUUCAAACGGUUGACAAACAACAAUUUCAUUUUUGAAGAAU
Small nucleolar RNA from Cucurbita maxima (winter squash), 109 nucleotides. RefSeq annotates it as Plant small nucleolar RNA R71. The transcript has a single exon. Lineage: Eukaryota; Viridiplantae; Streptophyta; Magnoliopsida; Cucurbitales; Cucurbitaceae. The record is from RefSeq and is a predicted model, not a curated record.